This 460-nucleotide ribosomal RNA is filed under the name uncultured bacterium. RNAcentral describes it as "partial 16S ribosomal RNA". It matches the Rfam family "Bacterial small subunit ribosomal RNA", at positions 338 to 795 of the family's 1533-position model. The record is from RNAcentral.
CCUACGGGUGGCAGCAGUGAGGAAUAUUGGACAAUGGGCGCAAGCCUGAACCAGCGAAGUCGCGUGCGGGAUGACGGUCCUAUGGAUUGUAAACCUCUUUGGUCGGGGAGCAAGGCCCGCCACGUGUGGCGGGAAGGAGAGUACCCGAAGAAAAAGCAUCGGCUAACUCCGUGCCAGCAGCCGCGGUAAUACGGAGGAUGCGAGCGUUAUCCGGAUUUAUUGGGUUUAAAGGGUGCGUAGGCGGGCAGUUAAGCCGGCAGUCAAAUGUCGGGGCUCAACCCCGGCCUGCCGUCGGAACUGGGAGACUUGAGUGAGCUAGAGGUAUGCGGAAUGCGUGGUGUAGCGGUGAAAUGCGUAGAUAUAACGCAGAACCCCGAUUGCGAAGGCAGCAUACCGGCGCCCUACUGACGCUGAGGCACGAAAGUGCGGGUAUCGAACAGGAUUAGAUACCCUAGUAGUC